CCCUGGUCCAUGGUUGCUGCUUCCUUGGACAAGCCCCAAGCACAGCCCCAAUCAGGGCACUGGGACAGAUCCUGCCCCAGCUUGUGGAAGCUGCUGGAGGGCAUCCAGCAAAAGGAAUGAAAACAAAGAAUUUUCAAGAGACCAAGGCCAAAGGAUUACUCAGUCAAGGAGAGAGAGAUUAACUCAGUUUCGUGCUGUUGCAAACUGGGAACGGUUUCACUGGUUACAGUGGGCUGACAAGUCAAAAUCCACCCUAUGCUCAGCUCUGACUAACCUUGGACUCUGCUACGUUCAACCUGC
Molecule: long non-coding RNA, 300 nt
Organism: Manacus vitellinus (golden-collared manakin)
Lineage: Eukaryota; Metazoa; Chordata; Aves; Passeriformes; Pipridae
Exons: 3
Source: RefSeq, a predicted model, not a curated record